RNAcentral lists this small RNA (168 nucleotides) under Burkholderia glumae BGR1. RNAcentral describes it as "Proteobacterial sRNA psRNA2". It matches the Rfam family "Proteobacterial sRNA psRNA2". Lineage: Bacteria; Pseudomonadati; Pseudomonadota; Betaproteobacteria; Burkholderiales; Burkholderiaceae. The record is from Rfam by way of RNAcentral.
GGGUUACUCCUUGGCGCUUGCGCGCUGUUUUGAUGAAGAUUCGCACCUCUAUCAAAACGGGUAACCCCGCCUCUUGGUAAGGCAUUACUGUCAGAUCAAGUCUGAACUUCUACACGUGAUGCAAUGGACCUCGCCUAUCUGACCGGCCAGCGUCCCCAGGACACGCUA